RNAcentral lists this long non-coding RNA (199 nucleotides) under Elaeis guineensis (African oil palm). RNAcentral describes it as "long non-coding RNA (EGUI_LNC069091)". Lineage: Eukaryota; Viridiplantae; Streptophyta; Magnoliopsida; Arecales; Arecaceae. The record is from RNAcentral.
GGUUAUAUAUAUUUAAGAAUGAAUCAUUAAUAGGACUAGAGUAACUUUGAGCAGCUUGAACUUGUUCUGGGAUGAAAGGUGAAAACUGUGCAGUCGUGGGAUAUUCACUAACAUGAUGGGCUGGACUAGCACAGAUAGAAUAAAUCUUCUGAUAAUUAGAAGAUUGUAUGUAUUGCAUAGGAGAUUGUAAAUCUAAGGC